UGUCCAAACUAACGCCUAGUGCCUCACCC
Molecule: small RNA, 29 nt
Filed under: Bombyx mori (domestic silkworm)
Lineage: Eukaryota; Metazoa; Arthropoda; Insecta; Lepidoptera; Bombycidae
Description: ovarian small RNA-35661
Source: RNAcentral